Molecule: ribosomal RNA, 459 nt
Filed under: uncultured bacterium
Lineage: Bacteria
Description: partial 16S ribosomal RNA
Rfam family: Bacterial small subunit ribosomal RNA
Source: RNAcentral
CCUACGGGUGGCAGCAGUGAGGAAUAUUGGUCAAUGGGCGCAGGCCUGAACCAGCCAAGUCGCGUGAGGGAAGACUGCCCUCUGGGUUGUAAACCCCUUUUAUAAGGGAAGAAUACUUACUACGUGUAGUCCUAUGCCCGUACCUUAUGAAUAAGCGUCGGCUAACUCCGUGCCAGCAGCCGAGGUACUACGGAGGAUGCGAGCGUUAUCCGGAUUUAUUGGGUUAAAGGGGUGCGUAGGCGGUAUUUUAAGUUAGUGGUAAAACGUCGGGGCUUCACCUUGAUUGGCCAUUAAAACUGGAGUACUAGAGUACAGACGAGGUAGGCGGAAUAAGUGAAGUAGCGGUGAAAUGCUUAGAGAUAACGUAGAACCCCGAUAGCGAAGGCAGCUUACCAGACUGUGACUGACGCUGAAGUACGAGAGCGUGGGUAGCGAACAGGAUUAGAUACCCUUGUAGUC